GACGAACGCUGGCGGCGUGCCUAAUACAUGCAAGUUGAGCGAUGAAGAUUGGUGCUUGCACCAAUUUGAAGAGCAGCGAACGGGUGAGUAACGCGUGGGGAAUCUGCCUUUGAGCGGGGGACAACAUUUGGAAACGAAUGCUAAUACCGCAUAACAACUUUAAACAUAAGUUUUAAGUUUGAAAGAUGCAAUUGCAUCACUCAAAGAUGAUCCCGCGUUGUAUUAGCUAGUUGGUGAGGUAAAGGCUCACCAAGGCGAUGAUACAUAGCCGACCUGAGAGGGUGAUCGGCCACAUUGGGACUGAGACACGGCCCAAACUCCUACGGGAGGCAGCAGUAGGGAAUCUUCGGCAAUGGACGAAAGGCUGACCGAGCAACGCCGCGUGAGUGAAGAAGGUUUUCGGAUCGUAAAACUCUGUUGGUAGAGAAGAACGUUGGUGAGAGUGGAAAGCUCAUCAAGUGACGGUAACUACCCAGAAAGGGACGGCUAACUACGUG
Molecule: ribosomal RNA, 497 nt
Filed under: uncultured bacterium
Lineage: Bacteria
Description: partial 16S ribosomal RNA
Rfam family: Bacterial small subunit ribosomal RNA
Source: RNAcentral